GGAAACGGCGCUUUUAAUGCAAACAUAACGCGCCUCUUUUUAAUUAAAUGUAUUUGAUAUAUGCGGGAAGAUUUUUAAUGAGAAUGUCAACGAGGCUGUGAGGUGACACACGGUAUUAAGCUGUAUAAAGCUCCUAGAUCAUAUAUGAUUUUCCACAACUCAAUUGUCUGUGGUUCUUUGCAUACUAAAUGUUCCUGGACAGAUAUUUUUCAAUGUUUUGUCCGCGGAACGAUCCAAAAACACUUUAAACUAAAGGACAGCCAAGUGAAGAGACUGUAAGUCUAUCCCUCAUAGCCUCAUUGUCAUUCCCAUUAAAAACAAAGAUGAAUAAGGGCAUGAAUAAGGUCUAAACUGAGGACAAUACAGUGCAGGUGUAAAGUAAUGCGAAGUUAUAAUUCAAUCUUUAUCAGUGGCUGUGAAUAUGGCCCACUCCCAUCUCACUCAGGGCUAUUGUAUCUAUAUGGGGAAACAUUAAACAAUUAACCAUCCUAAAAUGACAUUAUAUACACAUUAAACAAUUAACCAUCCUAAAAUGACAUUAUAUACACAUUAAACACUGACUACACAAUACACACAAUUAUCUGCAAUUGAAUCUCAUAUUUUAGAAGCUAGAUCGAUCAAUGCAACCAUAACUAAAGAGUCUGUCGACAUCUGGUGGCUGUUUGUGUGUAAUGCGCACUGAACCCACAAUUUAACCCCCUACAGCCAGAUGGCGCCAGAGUCCACUGUGCAGAAGGCAGAACAGUGGAUGAUGGCGGCGAAAAUGCUGAGGUCGCUCUUCAGACUCGCACAUCCUUAAGCGAUAUUAAACAGUAACAUCAGCAUUCCAGCCUGUGCUGUGCUUCAGAAGAGUGGAGUGAUGUUGAGGGGUUCAGGAAUUAAAUGGGAUCUGAGGAAGACUCAACGAUAUGACAAAUACAAUCAGGUGGAGUUUGAUGUGGCUGUUGGAAGUAAUGGCGACUGCUGUGACAGGCACUCAGGACAUUGUGUUUGGUGAGGUGGACCGUUGAAGAACAUCAGUG
This is a long non-coding RNA of Myxocyprinus asiaticus (Chinese sucker), 1022 nucleotides long. RefSeq lists it as uncharacterized. The transcript is spliced from 3 exons. The record is from RefSeq and is a predicted model, not a curated record. NCBI's taxonomy places the organism in Eukaryota, Metazoa, Chordata, Actinopteri, Cypriniformes, Catostomidae.